AUUGAACGCUGGCGGCAGGCCUAACACAUGCAAGUCGAACGAGUGGCGGACGGGUGAGUAAUGUCUGGGAAACUGCCCGGUGGAGGGGGAUAACUACUGGACACGGUAGCUAAUACCGCAUACCAUCGGAUGUGCCCAUAUGGGAUUGGCUAGUAGGUGGGGUAACGGCUCACCUAGUCGACGAUCCCUAGCUGGUCGGAGAGGAUGACCAGCCGCACUGGAACUGAGACCAGGUCCAGACUCCCACGAGAGGCAGCAGUGGGGAAUAUUGCACAAUGGGGGCAAGCUCGAUGCAGCCAUGCCGCGUGUAUGAAGAAGGCCUUCGGGUUGUAAAGUACUUUCAGCGAGGAGGCGUUACUCGCAGCAGAAGCACCGGCUAACUCCGUGCCAGCCGCCGCGGUAAUAC
This 406-nucleotide ribosomal RNA is filed under the name uncultured bacterium. Its description in RNAcentral is "partial 16S ribosomal RNA". It matches the Rfam family "Bacterial small subunit ribosomal RNA", at positions 30 to 526 of the family's 1533-position model. The record is from RNAcentral.